UGUGUGUGUGUGUGUAUGAGUGUGUGUACACAUGCAUGAGUGUGUGCAUGCGUGCAUACGUGUGUGUGUGUGUGUGUGUGUGUGUGUGUACGUUUGCAAAAAGCAAACAGAUCAUAUGGUGCACUUCAAAAAAGGCUGUGGAGUCAAAAAGGAGAAACAUUAAAGAACUUGAAAAAUUCCAUCUUCGUUGUCUGCGUCGUAUCUUGCGAAUUCACUGGAGUGAAAGAGUGACAAAUAGUGAUGUUCUGAAACAAUCCGGUAUGACAGAGAUUGAAUGUAUGAUAACAAAACAACAAUUACAAUGGGUCGGUCAUGUCACACGAAUGAAUGACAGAAGGCUACCAAAACAAGUGUUCUAUGGACAGUUGUUAAAUGAAUGUGGGCAUCAAUCAGGACAAUUGGGAGUCACUGGCGUCUGAUCGUUUGGUUUGGAGGAAGAAAGUGUCAUCUGGUCUGAAGAAGGUUGAGGAUGAGGAAAUGAAAAAAUUAGAAGAACGACAACACAUACACCAGCAAAUGGCACAAGUAGUAACUACAAGUCAAUAUGUAUGUGCCAUCUGUCAUCGCGAUUGUCAUUCUCGUAUUGGUCUCUAUGCACAUGAACAAGCACACAAGCGAUGGUUGAAUUCUAAUCAGUAGAGAAGUCGUGAACUUGUACACGAGUAGCAGACAAUAAAUGAAUGGUGUGUGUGUGUGUGUGUGUUACGCUGC
Long non-coding RNA from Corticium candelabrum, 711 nucleotides. RefSeq lists it as uncharacterized. The transcript is spliced from 3 exons. Lineage: Eukaryota; Metazoa; Porifera; Homoscleromorpha; Homosclerophorida; Plakinidae. The record is from RefSeq and is a predicted model, not a curated record.